This 75-nucleotide transfer RNA is filed under the name Candidatus Peregrinibacteria bacterium CG08_land_8_20_14_0_20_41_10. Its description in RNAcentral is "tRNA-Glu". It matches the Rfam family "tRNA". Rfam says of the family: Transfer RNA (tRNA) molecules are approximately 80 nucleotides in length. Their secondary structure includes four short double-helical elements and three loops (D, anti-codon, and T loops). Further hydrogen bonds mediate the characteristic L-shaped molecular structure. tRNAs have two regions of fundamental functional importance: the anti-codon, which is responsible for specific mRNA codon recognition, and the 3' end, to which the tRNAs corresponding amino acid is attached (by aminoacyl-tRNA synthetases). tRNAs cope with the degeneracy of the genetic code in two manners: having more than one tRNA (with a specific anti-codon) for a particular amino acid; and 'wobble' base-pairing, i.e. permitting non-standard base-pairing at the 3rd anti-codon position. The record is from RNAcentral. Lineage: Bacteria; Candidatus Peregrinibacteriota.
GGGGCCAUCGUCUAGUGGUUAGGACGCCGGGUUUUCAACCCGAUAACCGGAGUUCGAUUCUCCGUGGCCCUACCA